This is a long non-coding RNA of Mercenaria mercenaria, 365 nucleotides long. RefSeq lists it as uncharacterized. The transcript has 3 exons. Lineage: Eukaryota; Metazoa; Mollusca; Bivalvia; Venerida; Veneridae. The record is from RefSeq and is a predicted model, not a curated record.
GGGGCACUAGAUUUAUAUAUAUAUAUAUAUAUAUAUCUGUGAUUCGGCAAGUAGUUUGUGCCAUUCUGCAAAAAGAUAUUUAGUGUUAGACAGACCACUUCACUAGCAAGGAAAAGAAGAUGAAGAUUUCCAUUACCUGUACCAUGCUGAUUAUGUUAGCAGUGGUGACUUUAGCAAGUUCGAGAUCCUUGGAAGAAGCAAAAAGAGAUGGAAUUCCUUGUUUGAGGGGAAAGGACUGCACAUCAUGUGGAAUGUUAGAUUACUGUUGCCCGGGUGAUUGCUACAAAUUUCAGACAAUCACACCAACAGAUUGUACCUGUCCUUCCACUUAAUGAAUUGUUUAUAUAUAAAUGAAUAUUCUUUGG